CGGGUGACCUUUCGAAUCAAAGCCCGGCUCGUACCUACCAAGGUGCAUUGGCCAGCAAGGGCUUGGGGGGGGGGGGGGGGGGGAUGUGAUGGGGAGGGGGGGGGGGCGAUGCACCCGGGCUCUCCCCCUCCCUCUGCCUUUCCCCCUCCCUCCCCUCCCUCCUCCCUCCCUCGCUGCUCCCUCCCUCCCUCCCUCUCUGCUGCAUUUUGCAUGAGCUAUCUAGGUCAUUAGCAUUUUAGCGUAUGCAAGACUUGACAAAGCUGAUGAGAAGCCAGAUGGGCCCCUCUCCUCUUUUUUUUGCACCACUUGGGAUCUGAGCGAAAGGAUUGACUGCAGCAGGCGAACGGGGGAAGGUUUAUCGCGCUCCUCCAGACCCCCCCCGUUUAUAGCAGCGCGGCGGGGCUCGGGGAAGGCGGCAGAGAGCGGGCAGCGGCGGGCAGAGACGGAGGGCAGGCCCCUCUCUCCGUGUUCACAGCGGACCUUGAUUUAAAUGUCCAUACAAUUAAGGCACGCGGUGAAUGCCAAGAACGAGGCUGACCAGCAUCGAGGCCGGAGGCGGCUCCGCGGCUCUCCGCACCCGCGGAACCCCCCCCUUCAACCCCCACCCCCCCCAAACCCCCCCACCCCCCCCAAAGCCCGGCCGCGGGGCGCGCAGGCAGCGCUGCGCACCGGCGCAGGUGGCACCCGCAGCGCGGGGGGGAGAGAGGGAUGGAGGGGAGUUGGGGGGGGGGGGAUGUAGCGUCUUUUGGGGGGGAUCCCUGGGAAAAAAAUGGUGGGGGGGUGUCCCUGCGCGCACACGCGCCCGGGGGCUGAAAUGCGGAGCUGUCACUCGGGGGUGACCCGCGGGUGGGCCCCGGGGAGGGGGGGGGGGCCCGCGGCUGCUGCCCCCGGGGCUGCUCCGCUGCCGCCGCUUUGUGCUUUUGCCUUUUCUCUCGCCUUUUCUCCGCAGAGCGAUGGGGGGUUGGUUUGUUUUGGGUUUGUUUUUUGGUUUGGGGGUUUUGGGGGUUUUUUUUUGUUUUUUUUUUCUUUUUUUCUUUUUUUCCCCUGCUAAAAAGCAAGGGCAGGUCUUGGGGUCACCGGGGCUCACGCUGCUCCCCCGGCGGGGGCGGGGAGGGGGGGGGGGAUGCUGGGGCAAAGCCGCUUUUUUUCUUUAAUUUUUUAAAGCUUUAUUAUUAAUUUUUUUUUUUUCCGGUGGCUGUUUGUGUGUCUUUCCCCUUCACACCCCACACCCCCCUCCUCUACUUUAAUCCUUAUAAUUUAAAUCAAAAGUGCCGGGGAGGCGAAGGGGGGGGGGGGGGUUAGCGCUGUGUCUGCAGGGCGAGGCCGGGCGUAAAUCUCUUGGAGGGAUAAACAUGUCAUUUGUUCCCUUUGUAUGGUAAUGCUGUGUGUGUGUGUGUCCCCCCCAACCCCCCCCCCCAGCUGCCCCCCCGGCAGCUGCCCCGGCCAUACAUCCUCCCUACAAAAGAUCCCAAUUACCCAUCGGCUGCCUCAUUAUACCCCUAACACAGCCCCGGCGAGAGGCGUGUGUGUGCGAGGAGCCGAGGGGAGGGGGGGGUGGGGGAAAGGAGAAGGGGGGAGGUGGAGGAGGAGGAGGAGGGGGUGGUGGUGGGGGGGGAAACCAGCACCUGAAUUAUUCAGAAAAUAAAAUAAAAUUCAUAGAAGCUGGAGGCCCGGGGCGGCGGGGGUGGGGGGGGGGGGGCGGGGGGGGGGACGGAGGGAUGCUGCGACCCCGCGGCCUAACGCGGAGCGGGUGCCCCCGCAGAGCCGCCUGCUCCGCUUCCACCCUGCUUUUAUAUUAUUUCCCCCUCCUUUUUCACGUUUUAUUAUUUAAUUUCUUUUUUUUUUUUUUUUUUUCUCCGCCUUUUUAACCAGAGGGGUGCCCAUCGCCACCCCCCCUGCCCUCCACCUCCUCCCAUCCCUUCUCCCAUCCCUUCCCCUCUCUUUGCAGCCGGAGGCCAACCUGCCCUGCAUCCCUCCAUCCCUGUGCCCAAUCCGCUGUCCCAGUGCUCCCAGCAGUUGCCUCGCACUGAGCAAGGACAGGCCUUACUGGAGGGGAUGGUCCCCCCCACUCCAUGGGCCGGCUGCAGAGCUGUGCCCAGGCUGGCAGGAGGGGGGGGCCUUUGAUGAUGGUUUGGGGGGGGUCCAUCUCUCUUUGCAGCCCUGCGCGCAGACCCUCGCUUCUGGGACGGUGCCCAUGGGAGCAUUGACAGCAGCUCGGGGUCCCUGGGACGCCUCAUUGCACCCCAACCCGCCCCCGGGGUGCUGCAGGUAUUUGGGGGCAGCCCCCCCCGGGCUUGUAGCUCGGCUGGUGCGGAUGCCGCAAGGAGUCCGUCGGGUCGUGCCGUGCCAAUAAAGGUCUUUCGCUGCGGG
Chroicocephalus ridibundus (black-headed gull) is the source of this 2370-nucleotide long non-coding RNA. RefSeq lists it as uncharacterized. The transcript has 2 exons. The record is from RefSeq and is a predicted model, not a curated record. NCBI's taxonomy places the organism in Eukaryota, Metazoa, Chordata, Aves, Charadriiformes, Laridae.